RNAcentral lists this unclassified non-coding RNA (551 nucleotides) under Hevea brasiliensis (rubber tree). Lineage: Eukaryota; Viridiplantae; Streptophyta; Magnoliopsida; Malpighiales; Euphorbiaceae. The record is from RNAcentral.
GGCUGAACUUCUCUAAUGUCACCUGUUCCACAAUAUACAUGUUACCAAUUCCUUAGUGUAAUCAGAAGUGCAAAGACAAUUAAAAUUUCAUAAGAGGAUUUUUGGAGAAAUACAAUAUACAUCACAAAUAAAAUUCUCCCUUAUGCCUGGCAUAACAUCUGAAUGUGCAAGUGCAUAUCUCUGUGUGUGCAUCGGUCUUCAUGUUUCCCAGGGGAAAAAAAAAUGCUAGUGUGCAUUAUCUUUUCUUUUCUUUAUCAAUUAUCCUCAUAUUUAUUGCUUGCCACAAAUAGGAACUGUUGGAUAUGCAUCUAUUACUACAACAGAAAAAUAUGCUAAGUUGUUACAAAAGAUUAAGUAAAAAGCUGAAGAUAAGGAGGCUGAUUAGUUUUGUUUUGAUGUGUUAGUAGUUGUUUUGAUUUAAUGAGAUUUUUAUGCAGUUUGUUAUAUUGCAUUGUGGGCUGUAAAAUUCAGUAAACAUUUUUCAGUCUCAUUAUAAUCCUAUUAUAAUAUUUUGUUUGCUAUCUUUUGUGAAAUUGAGAGAGAUUUAAAAU